RNAcentral lists this ribosomal RNA (253 nucleotides) under uncultured bacterium. Its description in RNAcentral is "partial 16S ribosomal RNA". It matches the Rfam family "Bacterial small subunit ribosomal RNA", at positions 524 to 776 of the family's 1533-position model. The record is from RNAcentral.
UACAGAGGUCUCAAGCGUUGUUCGGAUUCAUUGGGCGUAAAGGGUGUGUAGGUGGCGCCGUAAGUCGGGUGUGAAAUUUCGGAGCUUAACUCCGAAACUGCAUUCGAUACUGCGGUGCUUGAGGACUGGAGAGGAGACUGGAAUUCAUGGUGUAGCAGUGAAAUGCGUAGAGAUCAUGAGGAAGACCAGUGGCGAAGGCGGGUCUCCGGACAGUUCCUGACACUGAGACACGAAGGCCAGGGGAGCAAACGGG